CAGAGGGGGCAAGCGUUGUUCGGAAUUACUGGGCGUAAAGGGCGCGUAGGCGGCCUUCUAAGUCAGACGUGAAAUCCCCGGGCUCAACCCGGGAACUGCGUCUGAUACUGGACGGCUCGAAUCCGGGAGAGGGAUGUGGAAUUCCAGGUGUAGCGGUGAAAUGCGUAGAUAUCUGGAGGAACACCGGUGGCGAAGGCGGCAUCCUGGACCGGUAUUGACGCUGAGGCGCGAAAGCCAGGGGAGCAAACGGGAUUAGAUACCCCGGUAGUCCUGGCCCUAAACGAUGAAUGCUUGGUGUGGCGGGUAUCGAUCCCUGCCGUGCCGAAGCUAACGCAUUAAGCAUUCCGCCUGGGGAGUACGGUCGCAAGGCUG
RNAcentral lists this ribosomal RNA (372 nucleotides) under uncultured organism. RNAcentral describes it as "bacterial SSU rRNA". It matches the Rfam family "Bacterial small subunit ribosomal RNA", at positions 526 to 896 of the family's 1533-position model. The record is from RNAcentral.